RNAcentral lists this ribosomal RNA (255 nucleotides) under uncultured bacterium. RNAcentral describes it as "partial 16S ribosomal RNA". It matches the Rfam family "Bacterial small subunit ribosomal RNA", at positions 524 to 776 of the family's 1533-position model. The record is from RNAcentral.
GACAUAGGGGACGAACGUUAUCCGGAAUUAUUGGGCGUAAAGGAUGCGUAGAUGGUUCGAUAAGUUACUGGUGGGAAAUCGAGGCCCAACCUCGUGGAAGCUGGUAAUACUGUCGAGCUUGAGUGCAGGAGAGGUUAACGGAACUUUAUGUGGAGCGGUAAAAUGCGUAGAUAUAUGAAAGAACACCGAUAUAGCGAAGGCAGUUAACUAUUCUGCUACUGACAUUGAGGCAUGAAAGCGUGGGGAGCAAAACGG